This is a long non-coding RNA of Symphalangus syndactylus (siamang), 1671 nucleotides long. RefSeq lists it as uncharacterized. NCBI's taxonomy places the organism in Eukaryota, Metazoa, Chordata, Mammalia, Primates, Hylobatidae. The record is from RefSeq and is a predicted model, not a curated record.
UUCGAGAGGUUCCCCAGGCAGAGAGGAAGAAAAAGGAGGAACUGGAGCAUCGAGCAAGCAGCUUGCAGGAACCAGUACUGGGGAAGCAAUGAGGGCUGGGAGGGUGAGCACAGAGAGAGAGAUGGGGUCAGGGCAGGAAAAGUGGGCAAAGGCCAGGGUCAGAACCUGGGCUGCAACCUUAGGCAGCUGGGAGUCAGCCAAAGAUGCUAAGUGGGACUGGGGUGAUUAAAUUCAUACCCACCAAAGUCAUUAUUCCAGCAGAGGGAAAAGCAGGAGAUGCUGGGAAAGAGGAGAGACCAGCCAGGAAGAUGUAACUAUAGCCCCAUGGUAAUAAUGGGCCUCUGAGUUCUGAAACAGCCAGCAGAGGAGAAUGACAGGGAGGGGCAGUGAAGGAGGUGGCGGAUCCUCAGGAAACACAGGGGAUCUGCUGUCUAUAAACUGCCAGAUGUCAGGUACCUGGUUCAUCAUCUUCAUCUUCAUGCACGUCAACAGCCACAUCACUGACUUUCCAACCAACCUUCCAGCCUUACUGACCCUCACUCCUCGCCUCUAAUGGCCCUAAAUUCCAUCUGGAAUCGGACCUUAAAGUGAAGUGAAAUGCAGCCUGUAACUCAGAGAGUGGCAGGUUGUCUCCUCUGAACCGGUGUCAGGUGCUACUUUCUCCACAACCCUAGGGCACUCAGCAGCCCCAGAAUCUGCAGGCUUAGCCCUGCCAUCCGGAGAGCAGUUCCUGCUGCUGCUCAGGGGGGCCACGCAGCCCAAGACAAGCCUGGACUCCCUCACAGUCUCUGCACUGUCAGGGUCCCCUAAGCUCUGCCAGGUCUCCCUAGUCGGAAUGCAACAUGUCUGUCUCCAUGUUCCGAAUUGCAUCCAGUCCACCCGCAGGGCCUGGAGCCCUGCCCAGAGGUCCAGGUGGAAGGCAUGAUGCCCUGUGCAGUCCUGCUCAGACCCCUUCUCAGGAGGUGAGACUCUGGCCUACACAUCCAGCAAGGUGAUAAACAGAUCAGGCGGAACAAGAAUGUCAUUGCCUCGUAGUCCACCUGCAGGUACUGGAAACUGCUACCAUUGCCCAGACUAGUGGAAUAGAUUUCACCUUCGAAAGCGACCCUGGCCUGGAUCCUGCUGCUUCUGCCACAUCUAUUUCCAGCUUCCUCUUCCUCCUGGCCUCCUUCUGAAGUCUCAGCAUGAUGUCCUGCCAAGUCACACAGGUGAAGAUAUAAGUUUAGAAAGGGGAUAUAACUUUCCAUGGUCAAAAGCAAAUAAACUGGACAUCUCAGCCAGCCCAUCUGCUUGGAGCCCUCUGCCUUAAAGCCACAUCACUCUCUGAGAUGAAACACCAGCCAGACAGGGUGAAGACAGGAGCGAGCUCCAGGUUUACAAGUGAUAGGAUUCCUGUGGAUUUCUAGUUCAGACUGAAAAUCCAUGAAAUUUAGAAUAAUAUCGGGAUAGUUUACAGACAUGUGAAGUUCUCCUUUUACUGUGUAUGUUUUACUUACAAUGCAAUACCUAAUAUUUCCAUUGUGACAUCAGCAAAUAUCCUUAGCCCUGUUUGCCAUUGCACCACAGAGCUUUUCGUGCAAACUAACAUUACAGUAUGAUACAAAGAAAACUGUUUCUUCUUAAGAUAUUUACAAUGUGAUCGGGUUUAUUUAAAUAAAGUCCAUUUUAUAC